GUCACAGCUGACGAUUUCCAAAUAGGACGAAAUGCGCAUCCUGGAC
This 46-nucleotide non-coding RNA is filed under the name Schistosoma haematobium. The record is from RNAcentral. Lineage: Eukaryota; Metazoa; Platyhelminthes; Trematoda; Strigeidida; Schistosomatidae.